AUUGAACGCUGGCGGCAGGCCUAACCCAUGCAAGUCGAACGAGUGGCGGACGGGUGAGUAUUGUCUGGGAAACUGCUUGAUGGAGGGGGUUAACAACUGGAAACGGUACCUAAUACCGCAUACCAUCAGAUGUGCCCAGUUGGGUUUAGCUUGUGGGUGGGGAAACGUCUCACCAAGGCGACGACCCCUAGCUGGGCUGAGAGGAUGACCAGCCACACUGGAACUGAGACACGGUCCAGACUCCUACGGGAGGCAGCAGUGGGGAAUAUUGCACAAUGGGCGCAAGCCUGAUACAGCCAUGCCGCGUGUAUGAAGAAGGCCUUCGGGUUGUAAAGUACUUUCAGCGGGGAGGCGUUACCCGCAGAAGAAGCACCGGCUAACUCCGUGCCAGCAGCCGCGGUAAUAC
This 406-nucleotide ribosomal RNA is filed under the name uncultured bacterium. RNAcentral describes it as "partial 16S ribosomal RNA". It matches the Rfam family "Bacterial small subunit ribosomal RNA", at positions 30 to 526 of the family's 1533-position model. The record is from RNAcentral.